AGUGAACGCUGGCGGUAGGCCUAACACAUGCAAGUCGAACGGCAGCACAGUAAGAGCUUGCUCUUACGGGUGGCGAGUGGCGGACGGGUGAGGAAUACAUCGGAAUCUACUUUUUCGUGGGGGAUAACGUAGGGAAACUUACGCUAAUACCGCAUACGACCUACGGGUGAAAGCAGGGGAUCUUCGGACCUUGCGCGAUUGAAUGAGCCGAUGUCGGAUUAGCUAGUUGGCGGGGUAAAGGCCCACCAAGGCGACGAUCCGUAGCUGGUCUGAGAGGAUGAUCAGCCACACUGGAACUGAGACACGGUACAGACUCCGACGGGAGGAAGCAGUGGGGAAUAUUGGACAAUGGGCGCAAGCCUGAUCCAGCCAUACCGCGUGGGGGAAGAAGGCGUUCGGGUUGUAAAGCCAUUUUGUUGGGAAAGAAAAGCAGCAGGUUAAUACCCCGCUGUUCUGACGGUACCCAAAGAAUAAGCACCGGCUAACUUCGUG
This 492-nucleotide ribosomal RNA is filed under the name uncultured bacterium. RNAcentral's name for it is "partial 16S ribosomal RNA". It matches the Rfam family "Bacterial small subunit ribosomal RNA", at positions 29 to 507 of the family's 1533-position model. The record is from RNAcentral.